GAUGAAGAACGUAGCGAAAUGCGAUAAGUAAUGUGAAUUGCAGAAUUCGGUGAAUCAUCGAAUCUUUGAACGCACAUUGCGCCCGCCAGUAUUCUGGCGGGCAUGCCUGUUCGAGCGUCAUUUCAACCCUCAGGCCCCCAGUGCCUGGUGUUGGGGAUCGGCCCAGCCUUCCUGUAAGGCCGCCGGCCCCGAAAUCUAGUGGCGGUCUCGCUGUAGUCCUCCUCUGCGUAGUAGCACAACCUCGCAGUUGGAACGCGGCGGUGGCCAUGCCGUUAAACACCCCACUUCUGAAAGUUGACCUCGGAUCAGGUAGGAAUACCCGCUGAACUUAAGCAUAUCAAUAAGCGGAGGA
Molecule: unclassified non-coding RNA, 352 nt
Filed under: soil metagenome
Description: partial contains 5.8S ribosomal RNA, internal transcribed spacer 2, and large subunit ribosomal RNA
Rfam family: 5.8S ribosomal RNA (bases 1-120)
Source: RNAcentral